CGGGUGAGUAACGCGUGGGUAACCUGCCUCAUACAGGGGAUAACGAUUGGAAACGAUUGCUAAUACCGCAUAAGCGCACAGUACCACAUGGUACAGUGUGAAAAACUCCGGUGGUAUGAGAUGGACCCGCGUCUGAUUAGCUAGUUGGUGAGGUAACGGCCCACCAAGGCAACGAUCAGUAGCCGACCUGAGAGGGUGACCGGCCACACUGGAACUGAGACACGGUCCAG
This 230-nucleotide ribosomal RNA is filed under the name uncultured bacterium. Its description in RNAcentral is "partial 16S ribosomal RNA". It matches the Rfam family "Bacterial small subunit ribosomal RNA", at positions 103 to 334 of the family's 1533-position model. The record is from RNAcentral.